CACAAGCGACUGCAAGAGCAACGGUACCCAAGGAAAGCCGAGCACCAAGAAGCCCUCCUUGGCUCCCGUACCUUCAAGGACUGAAAAACAAACAAGAACGCAGCAUCGAAGUAGACACGAGAAGCCUUCCCUUGCCUCCAUACGCUCAAGGACUGAAAAAUGAAUAUGAACGCAGUGUCGAAACGGCCGACGGGGAGAAAACACCUAAGGCACGAGAAACAUUCCUAUUUCCCACAAACAAAAAAGGACUGAAAAACAAACACGGAAACAGCAUCGAAGUAGACACGAGAAGCCUUCCCUUGCCUCCAUACGCUCAAGGACUGAAAAACGAAUAUGAACGCAGUGUCGAAACGGCCGACGGGGAGAAAACACCAAAGGAACGAGAAACAUUCCUAUUUCCCACAAACAAAAAAGGACUGAAAAACAAACACGGAAACAGCAUCGAAGUAGACACGAGAAGCUUUCCCUUGCCUCCAUACGCUCAAGGACUGAAAAACGAUCAUAUGUGAAGCAGCAAACCACUGGACCACAGCAGUCGCGAGGUCCUUAGAUGACAGCCUUAAUCCUAUGAAUUUAAACGGAACGGCGAAUUCAUCUACAUCUCCUGGACUGUCACAUGGGCUAGUUACAAGUACAUGUAGCAGAAGAAAUUAUUUUAUGGAAAUCAAUUCUUUCUUUAAGUUACGUUUAAGCGCAGUUGUAGUUUUAAGAUAUUGCUCGGUAACAAAAAAAUGUGUAUUCGUUGGAACAAUCUUUUUGUACCCACGUUGUUGAUCUACGCAUGUAAAAUACUUUUCAAAAAUCAAAGCAUUUUAAAAUAAAUAAAAGCUUAUGUAAAUUGUUAUAGCUCUAUUCUUUGUCGUUACAUAGAAUUUUGCGUUUUACAUUCUAAUUCAUAUUUCUUAGGUUUGAUGACCCCAUAACCUUUGUACUUGUUUAUGACUUAGUGGCAUGCCACUGAAGCAUAAGCAAUUCUCUAAGUGUUUAUUAUUAUCCUGGUAUUAUACUGUCCCAGAAACUUAUUAUCGGUGGAGAAGUAUUUUAUGAUUUGUUUUCAACUGUUACUUUACGAGUAAGACUUCGUCACAUUUCAGGAGGAAUUGCAGACUUCAGACAUAAAUAAAGAUUUAAAAAAUA
Long non-coding RNA from Pomacea canaliculata, 1137 nucleotides. RefSeq lists it as uncharacterized. The transcript has 2 exons. NCBI's taxonomy places the organism in Eukaryota, Metazoa, Mollusca, Gastropoda, Architaenioglossa, Ampullariidae. The record is from RefSeq and is a predicted model, not a curated record.